GGAUGUGAGGGCGAUCUGGCUGCAACAUCCAUUGUCCCAUUGAUCGCCAGGGUUGAUUCGGCUGAUCUGGCUAGCUAGGCAAGUGUCCCCUCCCUCCCUCAUCAGUCCAUGUGCACCCCCUUGUCAGUAUGCCUUUGAGCCGAUGCCAACGACUGGGCUCAACAACAGGAUCUGCCCCAACUGGGCUAGGCGACUGGAGUACUUCCAGAGACCUUCCACUCCUCUAAAGCAGGUCUAAGUGCACAGGACACACAACUGUGAGUUGUGAGCACCAAACUCAGCAG
Non-coding RNA from Podarcis lilfordi (Lilford's wall lizard), 284 nucleotides. NCBI's taxonomy places the organism in Eukaryota, Metazoa, Chordata, Lepidosauria, Squamata, Lacertidae. The record is from the annotation of a GenBank genome assembly.